GAUGAAGAACGUAGCGAAAUGCGAUACGUAGUGUGAAUUGCAGAAUUCAGUGAAUCAUCGAAUCUUUGAACGCACAUUGCGCCCUUUGGUAUUCCAAAGGGCAUGCCUGUUCGAGCGUCAUUUGUACCUUCAAGCUUUGCUUGGUGUUGGGCGUCUUUUUGUCUCUCCUUUGCGGGAGACUCGCCUUAAAACGAUUGGCAGCCGGCCUACUGGUUUCGGAGCGCAGCACAUUUUUUGCGCUUUGCAUCAGGAGAAAAGGACGGUACUCCAUCAAGACGUUUACAUUUUUCACUUUUGACCUCGGAUCAGGUAGGGAUACCCGCUGAACUUAAGCAUAUCAUAAGCGGAGGA
Molecule: unclassified non-coding RNA, 351 nt
Filed under: soil metagenome
Description: partial contains 5.8S ribosomal RNA, internal transcribed spacer 2, and large subunit ribosomal RNA
Rfam family: 5.8S ribosomal RNA (bases 1-120)
Source: RNAcentral